Molecule: non-coding RNA, 134 nt
Filed under: Oryctolagus cuniculus (rabbit)
Lineage: Eukaryota; Metazoa; Chordata; Mammalia; Lagomorpha; Leporidae
Description: Eukaryotic large subunit ribosomal RNA
Rfam family: Eukaryotic large subunit ribosomal RNA
Source: Rfam by way of RNAcentral
GAAAGAUGGUGAACUAUGCCUGGGCAGGGCGAAGCCAGAGGAAACUUUGGUGGAGGUCUGUAGCAGUUCUGACAUGCAAAUCAGUUGUUUGACCUGGGUAUGGGGCGAAAGAUUAAUCGAACCAUCUAGUAGCU